UCCACCAUUUUACAAAAGCAUGUCUCUGCAAAGGUUGAUAUUGCUUCUUGUUUUCAGUUUUCCCAUACUUGUAUUGCCAUGAAAAGAUCCAUGACAAAGCAAAGCUGGAAAAAUACAUUAGAUCGGCUGGAAUUCUUGAUUCCUGGUUGUUGAACAAUCUAUUGAACUGUUGAAAUCCUUGUUGGACUUCUUCUGGAAAGAUUUGUGGGAUUGGGCCAAAAUAAGUCCACCAUUGGAGAAACCAGUUUGGAAAAUUGUAUACAGUAUUAUUUUUGAAAUAAAUCAACCACGAAUGCUUGAAUUUAUUGUUCUGAUGCCAAAACACAUUGGUCCAAGCAUCAAUAUAGUCCCAAUAAGUGUAUCCUGCUGGGUCAAAAGGUGCAGAAAACUUUUUGGGCUGGUUAAGAUUAGUCUCGUAAUGUCGUGACUGCAUUACUUUCAGAAUUUGGAUUGUGGAAUGGGUAUUUAAGCUUGGAUCUUUUGAGUCUUUGAAAUGCUUGAUUGAUACUGAAUUUGUAUCUACUAGAAUAAAUUCAUAGAACUUUUUGGUUUUAUUGAGGGCUGUUGGCCUAUAAUGGAAUCCUUGGGGGAAGACUUUGGCGGUUGCUUUGAAGGGAUUUUUGUCCCAAUAUUAUGGUUCCAUUUGGAGGACAGUAAAAAAUUUAUUUUUAGGAAUAUAGAUGUUGGUGGGUUUUGGUGUUGGAUCUUGUUGAGCCAACGUUCGUUUUUCUUUUGGGUUACAAACUGUCUUGGUUUGUUUGGUCUUUCGGAUUUGUUUAUGGAGAUCUGUUUCAGAAUCAUCGUCUGAUUCUGAGGCCAUUUCUGCCCAGGUUUUCUUGGCUAAUUUUGGGAUUUUGGUAAGGCCUAUGUCUUCUAAGGCCUGAAGGGUUUGAAUUGACCAGGCAUAGUCAGCCACGGUCUGUUUUGCUGUUACUGGUUUGGGGGAGUCUUGAGUAGAUGACUCAGGUUUAAUGGUAGCUAUUUGGGUCAAUGAUCCUUCAAUUUUUGUUUUCUGGGUUGAUGACUCAGUCUAGGUAGGUGACCCAGAGGAUGAUGAAGUUGUCUUCUUGAUUAUUUGCUUUGGUAGAGCUAAAAGAACUUCUUUUCCUUUACUUCUCGAUCUUCCUCCUCUCCCGGAAGAGCUUGACACCUUAGGAGGCAUCAGUAUUUUUCUGUAAAAAUUCACACGUGAGGUAGUCAGGUAGAGAAUUUGAGGUGCCCUUGAUGUAUUCUAUUUCAAAAUCAAAGACACUUAAAAUUGCUUGCCAUCUUGCAAAUAUUUGUUUUGAGGCAAGGUUUUUAACAUCCUUUUGUAAAAUAUCUUUGGCUGACUUGCAAUCAACCCUAAUUAAAAUUUUUUGGUUUAAUAAAUCUGAUUGAAAUUUGGAAAUGCACAAAACAAAUGCUAAAACUUCCUUUUUAACAAUUGAAUAUUUCAAUUGUGUAGGAUUCCAAUGUUUUGAUGUAUAUGCAAUGACAUGAUCUUGACCAUGUACUCUUUGUUUGAGGAUUCCACCAUAACCUAUGUCUGAUGCAUCGAUUUCAACUAUUUUAAAUGCCUGAGGAAUAGGAAGAUACAAACAUUUUAUAGAUUGGACUUUGAGUUUGAUUUCUUUAACUGUUUGGGUAUGGAGAUCAGACCAAGGAGAUGGAUUUUUCUUCAGCCUAUCAUACAAUGGCUUGACAAUAUUGUUUAAAUAGGGGACAAAUUCUCCUACAUAAUUUAGACAACCUAGAAAUCUUUGUAACUGGAUCUUGUCUAAGAUUUGGUUGGGAAAUUUUUUUGCAAACUCUAUUGACCUUUCAAUUGGAAUGAUUGUACAUUGAUAUAUCUUGUGACCAAAGAAUUGAAUUCGAGUUUGGAAAAGAUUGAUUUUUGAUUUGGAGACUGCCAAACCAUUCAAUUUGAUGAUAUGGAUGAAAGUCUGGAGAUGUUUGAAGUAUUGGUCAAUGUUUUGGGAAAAGAUUAAAACAUCAUCUAUGUAGACAAUGACAAAUUUUGAAUAGGGAUUAAAAAUAUCAUUCAUAAUUUUUUGAAAUUCUAAAGGGGCAUUCUUCAGUCCGAAUGGCAUCACAUUCUAUUCAUAUUGCCUGAAAGGUACAAAAAACGUUGUUUUGUACUUAUCUGAUUCUUGGAUUUUGAUUUGCCAAAAUCCAGAUUUCAUAUCAAAUUUUGAAAAUAUCUUUGCAGAAUUUAAUCUGUUAAGUAAAUCUUUUUUGUUUCGAAUAGGAUACCUAAUCCAUUGUAAUGCUUGAUUCAGUGGUUUGUAAUUUAUGACUAAGCGGGGUGUUCCUCAUUCAAGCUCAGAUUGUUUAUUGACAUAAAAAGCCACACAAGACCAUGGGCUUUUGCUUUUUCGGAUUAGGCCAUUAUCAAGCAAAUCCUUGAUUUCCUUUUGGCAGUAUUGAAGGAGUUCUUCGUUCAUUUGAGUUGGUCUGGCUUUUGUGGGAAUUUUUUUCCCCUAAAUUCUUUCUCAUAAGGGAGAUCAACAAUAUGUUUCUUUCUAUCCCAAAAUGCAUGUGACAAAUCAGAACAGACAGUUGAUUCGAUAUGACUUAAUAAAGAUUGGAUUUUUUCUUUUACUUGGGAUUUUCCCAGUUGUAUCUGAAUAUUAUUAAAAGAUACUUCUUCUUUUAAGAAGUUAAUUUGGUUGAUCUUAUUUUCUAUAAGAUUUAUAUUCCUGGAGAUUGGUUUAGUAGAAAAAUUAAAUAUAAUUUUUCUUCCUAAAUAAUUUGUAGUUAUUCCUUCAUUAGAUAUUUGAAUGGGAAACAAGGCUCUAAUGAAGGGAGUUCCUAGGAUCACUUCGUUCUUAAGGUUUUUUACCAGAAGAAAGUUUGUGGGAAUUAACGAUGAUUGCAUUUGAUAACUUAAAAUUAAUCUUUAAUUUUGAGUCAUUUGUUGUGCUCAAUUUUUUUAAGGUUUUCUCAAAGAAUUUUGUAGGAAUUAAUCCUUCUAAAAUACAGUUUGAAUCAGCCCCUGUGUCAAAUAGGGCCAUUGUAUCUAAAACAAAAUCAUUAAUAAUUAUUUUUAUCUUUAUGUAAAAUUUUUGGAUUUUAAUCUUGUUGAUUAAUCCCAUAAACAUAUCAUCUUCUAGAUUAUCUGGUUGGUUUCCUUCACUGUUGUUGACACUUUCAUAAUCACUAUCUUCCUCAAGCUGAGAAAAAAUGAUCUGAUAAAUUUCUUGUUGUUGACGAAGUUCUUUCACUUCCUUUUUUAGAUUGUUUAUCUCUGUUUGAAGAUCUUGGAUUGUUGUUGGUUUGGCUGAAGAUUUUUCUAAUCUUUUGAAUAUGUUACUUACAUCAAAUUUAUUAUUUGUAAUAAAAUCCUUCUGUCUAGGUUUUACCUCAAAUGUUUUCUUGAGUUUUUCCAGAAAAACUUUCUUUUCCUGGGGGUCAGGUAUAGAAUUGAUUGCUUCAAACAAGAGAUCUUGUUCUCUCAUUAGAGUAUUGAUUUGUCCAUCAUCAUCUAUUGAUGAUAGUUGGUCAUCUUGUUGGAUUAGGUUUAGGUUUUCAUCGGAAAGCACGGAGGAUGAAGUUUCUGUUUCUUCCUCCGAGGUUUCUAUAAGCAAAUUGUUUAUUUGCUCUUCAAUAACCGGUUCUAAGUUAAGAUUUCUUAACUUCUUUUUUAGUCUACAAUAUUUACUAAUGUGGCCUUGUUUUCCACAAUUGUAACAUGUUAUUUUUUUGCAUUUUUUGUUUAGGAUUUUCCAUUUCUUUACUGGUUGAGGGUUUGUGUGAGUAUCUCCUUCUUGGAAAUCUCUUUUUAAUGACUAGUUUAUUCUCAUGGAUUUCUCUCCUAGUGGAUUGUUUUUUCUUUUGUUUUGGACAGGCCGGUAGACCAAAUUGUUCGCAGAAAGAACCUAAAUCCUUCUUUGUUCGGGUCUUUUCUUUGGCUAAUUGCCUCUGAAUUUUGUCAUCCUGACAAAUUUUUAAGGCUACCUUUUGGACAUAAGAAAUUAAUUGAAUGUAGCUUAAGCUUUCAUAUGGAAUGUCUCUAUUGGCAGAUAGACUACGGAUUUUAUAUCUAACCUUGUCUCCUAAUGAUCUGGGAAGACCGGCUAGAAAUUUUUUUUUCCAUAAAGGUUAUUGACUAUCUUCUCUAGUGUAAACCCUAGUUAGGAAAGUAUCUCUGUACCACCUAAAGUCUACUAAGGUUCUACACUUAAGGUUUGACAACAAUUCUGCAGACCUAUCUUUCCACAGAGAUGGGUCUCCAAUGAAGUGUUGAGCUAUUGUAAAGAUUAAUGUAUUAACAGCGUCAGGAAUCUCCUUAUCAUCGUCAUUAGUAAUGACUUUUCCAUUGAGAUCUGUCUUAACUGCGCUACAAAUUUUUUAUUUUUCUUCAUUCGUGAGAUAACUAUCCCACCAACCUUUUAAUUGUCCGGAAAAUCCUGCCACUAAAAUGUCUAUAAUGGUUUCUUCCGAACAUUCAUGGGAGGUUUGGUAAGUUGUAGCUACCAUGGUCAUAUGUUGGAGUGUAUUCAUGAUGUUAUACUCCGUUUGUGCAUCUAUGUUCCAUUCAUAGAUGUUGUUUGCACUAAAACUCUUAAAAUUGUUUUCACCUCUUUCCUCUAAUAGAAGGUCAGGGGCAGUUGGACGUUGAUAAUAUAAUUUAGAGGGUGUUUUUCAGUGUUUGGAAUUAAUAAGAUUUAUAUUCUUUUCUGAUACUGAUCCUAUCUCAGUUGCAUUUUCUGAGUUUUGGUCACUAUCUUCAUUAAUAACAUUAAUUAAUUUGGAAGUACUUCUCGUUACCAUUUUGGAUGUAUUUUUCGAAGUUUGGGGAGUUUUUGGAAUAACCUUAAGUAAGCUACCUAUUUUGUUUAGUAAUUCACUAUGGUUGUCUCCUACUCCUUCAAUUAAGGAUUUAGUUUUUAUUAGUUCCCUAAUUUUUCGUUUAGCAUUAUCACUCACUUUGAAAGGUUUGAAUAAUGGUUUUUCAAUGGGAAUACUUGGUGAAGCUUCCUCAACUGAUUUUUGUUUAGGAACUACCUUAGUUUUAAUGGUUUCUCCUAAAACAUGUAAAUAUUUAUUGGUAUAAUUUGCCUGUUCCAUUAGGCUCUUAAUAUCUUUGGAGGUUACUUCCUCGUUGACAUCUUUUGUCUUGAAUGGAAUUGCCAUGACAGGUUUAUUGUUACUAUCUUUGACAUUUGGUAGUUGAUAUUGUGUUGUUGGAGGUAAUUCUAAUUGGAUUAACUCACCGUCCUUCAUUUGCUAAUUUGUUAUGAUAUUUGUUGUUGGAUCACCUAUGAUAUCUUGUUUCCAAGGGUAAUCUAUAUCCUUUCUGAUGGUAUAAGCAUGAAACCAAUCGAAGAAAAGGACAUUAAUUUUGACUCUUUCGACAAAUUCGUAGAACAUGUCUUGGAUCUAUUUUCUGUUUGUACCCUUGUAAUGUUGGAGAAACCAUAUCCUUUAAAGUUCAUUCUCCGAAGAAUAAAAGUCUUUCCUAAGGGUUUCCUUAUCAAUGCUAAACUUGUCAGAUAACAUCAUAAGGUUCCAUAGAAGAAUAAGUUGGGGAAUGGAUCAACUUUUGGUCGUCCUCCUAUUCUUGGUUGUACGUUGUUCUAGGUAUACUAGAAGUAAUAUCUAAUCCUUGGAGGUUUACAGUAGGGAACUGGUUGUGUGACUUAGAUCUGGUUAGUCUUACUGGAAUUGAACGGGUUCUAACUGAAAAAGACCUUAUGGCUGACUCAUAUUCAAACCUAGAGGCUUCUAUUCUUGAUGAAAAAGAAUUUCUCCUAUUGAAGAUUAUUUCUACCUUACCGGAGUUAUCUUGCUUAAUUUGCUCUAUGGUUGGAGCGAGUUGGGGAACAGACGGUGUGGCCUUAUCCAUAACCCAUCUUUCGGGAAGAGUUACUUCAUCUCAUUUUAUUUUUCUCGGGAGAGAAACGCUAGCCUUUGUCAUAUCAGUGAUAAACAAAGUUGUUUCUCCUCUUUGAGGUUUUAACAGGACUCUAGAAGCACAUGUAACACCCUGAUAUAUAUAUAUAUAUAUAUAUAUAUAUAUAUAUAUAUAUAUAUAUAUAUAUAUAUAUAUAUAUAUAUAUUAUUAGUAAUUAUGUUUGAUGUUUGAUUAUUUGUUGCGUUAUUUUCAUCCGUAAUUAUUUUUAAGGAGGUUAAUUUAGUUAAUAGAGGGGUGUGGAUAGAUAAGGAUCUAGCUUCUCAAAGAAGUUUCUUGAGAAAGCUUCUCAAAGAAGCCACGAGGAAGCUUCUGGAGGAACCUUCUUAAUGAAGCUUCUAGAGAAAGCUACAUGAAGCUGCCUCGGUAAAAACGCUGCCCAACCUUCGUUAACCGUUGGCUCUUCUUGACAUUUGGUCUGCAACUUAACAAGACACUUGUCCAUGAUCUGACCGUUGGGAUCUUUUAGAAGAUAUCUGGAGUGUGCUCGAAGCUUCCGUUCCCGAGAGCAUUUCUUAUUUAAGCACUUCAGCCUUUGCUUUCAUGUAGCUUAGGAAAAAUGUCAUUUCUUCUUCUUUCUUUCUUCCAAAGCCAUUUCUAAAGUUCCAAGCACUUUCUCCAUCACCCACAGCCACCAUUAGCCACCACAAACCAUCGUUGUUAUCCACACCGAGAGAAACCCUUCAAUCGAAGCGGAAUCUUCCAACUUGGCUUGUUGUUUCAGUAGAGAACGAAACCCUAAUCUGACCUUUCAUUUUCUUUCGAGGUAACCAUGGUUCUACGCUUGUUUCUUGUUAGUUUCAUCUUGUCUUUGCGUCUUUUCUGACUUUGGAACCGCCAUUGUAUGUCUUAUGCUUCCUUUGAAAAACCUUAGAGAAAGAGACUUUGUAAACAUUAUCCUUUCAUGAAAUGCAUGUUAUUUUCGUAACCUACACUGAACCCCGGUCACAUUGGCGUGAUCGGAAUUUCCAAAUGAUGUUCCUUUGUAAAACCUGAAAUGCUCUCAACUCUUUCAUGUAGUGAUUUGGGUGUCUGACCCAAAGCAUUGUUACUAGCUUUGUUUUCUGAAAUCCAUACUAAGUCUCCUUCGUUUUGGCAUAGUAGAGGCUUGCGUGGAAUCGACGAGCAAGGACAAAAAGGAAUCUUCAAUUGACGCGACGAGGAAUCUGCGGGGAAGCUCACGAUAGGUAAGGGGAGUUUAUUAUAAAAUUUACCGUUUUAACACCAUAGUUAGGGUCAGGGAACCUAGCUAUGAGGAUAUCUACCUGUCCCUGUUGCAUGCUGAUUUUUCUUCAAAGAAAAUUACGUUUUAACUAAUGGGAUGCGAUAUAUAUAUAUAUAUAUAUAUAUAUAAAGAAGGAUUUAGGUUCAUAAACCUGAUGGGGAAGUAGGAAUGUUGUCCGUAAGGACGUAUGUUAACAAAUUUUAUGGAUCUGAAACUGAAACCUUGUAUAGUAUGAGUAAUAUUUUAUUUUAAUUUGUACAGUAGAUGUUUGAACAGUACUUCCUGGAAGUACAACAGUCUAAUAUUUUAGUUGAAUGGUACUUUAGCAGUAAGACCCGUGGUGGAUAAAGGGCAGUAAGGCUAAGGUGUACUGUUUAACCAAAAUAUCAAGACAUAAUAUACUGAUGGCUAUAAGAUUGUCGUUCAAACUAAUUCAAAAAAAAGAGUUUUUUCUUAAAAAUAAUUCAGAUCCGAAAAAUUUUGUUACGUAUAUACUUACGGAAAUAUUUCUAGGGAACCAAAUGAGGGCGAAGAUAUUAGAGGAUUUUAUAAUCAUGUCUAGACUCCUGCGUUCUUUUUCGCGUAUUUCCUUUCGGUCUAAUUCCUCUUCAUCAACUUCUUCCAGAAAUUCAAACUUAUUAAGUGAUCAAGAUAACCAGACCCAAGAGGUCGCCCCUAAACACAAUCUCUUCGAUGAGGAAGUCCGAUUCGAAGAUAUCAAUCAAAACAUGGAUGAAUGGAACAUCCUAGAAAUCCCUCAGGAUCAACUAUACGUUCCUGAAACAAUGAAAGAUAAACACAACUUUGAUUACAUAAUCAAAACAGUAGAAAACAAUAUUCCUCUAGGGCAAGACAUAGGGGAAGAAUUCCAUUUACUUUCAAAAAAUUCAAUUUAUGAACAUAGUCGAAAGUAUAAAUAUUUACACAUCGGCUGUGUACAAGUAGCCAUCAAGCCCUUAAUAGACAUGGGCAUAGAUGCAGCAGUGUUAAUGUGUCUAAGAGAUAUUAGGCAUAAUAAAUUUGAAGACUCCUUAAUUGGAACAGUCGAAAGUAGCCUAGGACAGGGUCCAGUAUAUUUUAAUUGUUAUCCAAACAAAACAGUGAGUCUGAUGGACAGAAACAUUCUCGACUCUCUGUUCUUAAACAUCCACUUUCAUGGCCUUGACAUGAAAGAAGGAUCAAUCCCAGCGGCUUUAAUCUAUAGGAUCCAGUACAAGGUCAUGAACACUUGUGCCUCUAGAGUCCUGUUGCAACCACAAAAGGGAGAAACAACCUUGUUUAUUACCGAUAUGACAAAAGCCAACGUCUCUUUAAAAAGAAUAAUAAAAUGGGAUGAAGUAACUCUCCCCGAAAAAUGGGUCAUUUAGAAAGCCACACCGUCUAAUCCCCGACCCGCUCCAAUUAUUGAGGACAUUAAACAGGAUAACUUCGGAAAGGUAGAAAUAACCUUUAAUAGGAGAAAUUCAUUCUCAUCAAGGAUAGAAGCCUCUAGGUCUGAAUACGAGUCAGCCAGAAGGUCUUUUUCGGUUAGAACCCGUUCAAUCCUAGUAGGUCUAACCAGAUCUGAGUUACAUAACCAGUUCCCUACUGUAAACCUCCAAGGACUAGAUACCACUUCUAGCAUACCAAGAACAACCUACAACCAAGAUCAGGAGGACGACCAAAAGUCGAUCCAAUCCCCAACAUACUCUUCUAUGGAACCUUAUGAUGUUUUCUGACAACUUUAGCAUUGAUAAGGAAACCCUUAGGAAAGAUUUUUAUUCUCCGGCAAAUGAGGCUCAAAGGAGAUGGUUUUUCCAAAAUUACAAGGGUACAAACAGAAAACAGAUCCAAGACAAGUUCUAUGAAUUUUUCGAAAGGGUCAAAGUUAACGUCCUUUUCUUUGAUUGGUUCCAUGCUUACAGCAUCAAAAAAGAUAUAGAUUACCCAUGGAAGCAAGACAUCAUAGGUGAUCCAUCAACAAAUGUUAUAACCAAUUGGCAAGUAAGAGAUGGUGAGAUGAUCCAAUCGAAAUUACCUCCCACGACCAAAUAUCAACUCCCGAAUAUCAAAGAUAGUAACAACAAACCUAUAAUGGCAACCCCAUUUAAAACAAAAGAUAUUAAUGAGGAAGUAACCUCUGAAGAUAUUAAAAGCCUAAUGGAACAGGCAAACUACACCAAUAAAUAUUUACAAAUUUUAGGAGAAACCAUUAAAACUAAGGUAGUUCCUAAGCAAAAAUCGGUUGAAGAAGUCUCUCCAAGUAUUCCCAUUGAAAAACCACUGUUCAAACCUUUCAAAAUUAGUGAAAAAGCUAAACGAAAGAUUAGAGAACUUAGGAAAACUAAAUCCUUAGUUGAAGGAGUAGGUGACAAUCAUAGUGAAUUACUAAACAAGAUUGGUAGUUUACUUAAGGUCAUUCCAGAAACUCCCCAAACCUCGGAAAAUACUUCCAAAAUGGUAACAAGAAGUACCUCCAAAUUAAUUAAUGUCAUUAAUGAAGAUAGUGACCAAAACUCAGAUAACACAACUGAGAUAGGAUCAGUGUCAGAAAAGAAUAUAAAUCCAAUUAAUUCUAAACAUUGGAAAACACCUUCCAAAUUAUAUUAUCAACGUCCAACUGCCCCUGACCUUCUAUUAGAAGAAAGAGGAGAAAACAAUUUCAAGAGUUUUAGUGCAAACAACAUCUAUGAAUGGAACAUAAAUGCACAAACGGAGUAUAAUAUCAUGAAUACACUCCAACAUAUGACCAUGGUAGCUACGGCUUACCAAACCUCCCAUGAAUGUUCAGAAGAAACCAUUAUAGACAUCUUAGUGGCAGGGUUUUCUGGACAACUGAAAGGAUGGUGGGAUAAUUAUCUCACUAAUGAGGAGAAAUAAAAAAUUUACAGCGCAGUCAAAACGGAUCUCAACGGAAAAGUCAUUAGUAAUGACGAUGAUAAAGAGAUUCCUGACGCUGUCAAUACCUUAAUUUUUACAAUAGCUCAACAUUUUAUUGGAGACCCAUCCUUAUGGAAAGAUAGGUCUGCAGAAUUAUUAUCAAACCUUAAGUGUAGAACCUUAGCAGAUUUUAGGUGGUACAGAGAUACUUUCCUAACUAGGGUUUACACAAGAGAAGAUAGUCAACAACCAUUCUGGAAAGAAAAAUUUCUAGCUAGUCUUCCCAGAUCAUUAGAAGACAAGGUUAUUGAUAAAAUUCAUAGUCAAUCUGCCAAUGGAGACAUUCCAUAUGAAAACUUAAGCUAUGGCCAAUUAAUUUCCUAUGUCCAAAAGGUAGCCUUAAAAAUCUGCCAGGAUGACAAAAUUCAGAGGCAAUUAGCCAAAGAAAAAGCUCAAACAAAGAAGGAUUUAGGUUCCUUCUGUGAACAAUUUGGCUUACCAGCCUGCCCAAAACAAAAGAAGAAACAAACCUCUAGGAAAGAAAUCCAGGAUCAUAAACCAGCCAAUAGAAUAAGAUUUUCAAAAAGAAGAUACUCUAAAAAACCCUUAACUAGUAAGGAAAUAGAAAAUCCUAAGCAAAAAAUAAAAUAAAAAAUAACAUGCUACAAUUGUGGAAAAAAAGGCCACAUUAGUAAGUAUUGUAGACUAAAGAAAAAAUUAAGGAACCUUAACCUAGAACCCACAAUCGAAGAACAAAUAAACAAUUUACUCAUAGAAACUUAGAAGGAAGAAACAGAAAUUGAAACUUCAUCCUCUGUACUUUCCGACGAAAAUCUAAACUUAAUCCAACAAGAUGACCAAUUAUCAUCAACGGAUGAUGAUGAUAAGCAAAUUAAUACUCUAACAAGAGAACAAGAUCUCUUGUUUGAAGCAAUUAAUUCCAUCCCUGACCCCUAAGAAAAGAAGGUUUUUCUGGAAAAACUCAAGAAGACCUUAGAGGUAAAACCUAGACGAAAAGAUUUUAUUACAAACAACAAGUUUGAUGUAAGUAACAUACUUAAGAGAUUAGAAAAUUCUUCAACCAAACCAACGACUAUCCAAGAUCUCCAAACAGAGAUAAACAAUCUAAAAAGAGAAGUAAAAGAACUUCGUCAACAACAAGAAAUUCAUCAGAUCAUUCUUUCUCAGCUUGAGGAAGAAAGUGAUUAUGAAAAUACCAACAAUGAGGAAAAUCAACAAGAAAAUCUAGAAGACGAUAUGUUUAUGGGAUUAAUCAACAAGAUUAAAAUCCAAAAAUUUUACAUAAACAUAAAAAUAAUUAUUAAUUAUUUUGUUCUAGAAACAAUGGCCCUAUUCGACACAGGGGCUGACUCAAACUGUAUUUUAGAAGGAUUAAUUCCUACAAAAUUCUUUGAGAAAACCUCGGAGAAACUUAGUACAACAAACGGCUCAAAAUUAAAAAUUAAUUUUAAAUUAUCAAAUGCAAUUAUUGAAAACCAAGGUCUUAGGAUUAACACAAACUUUCUUCUGGUAAAAAACCUUAAAAACGAAAUAAUCCUAGGAACUCCCUUCAUAAAAGCUUUAUUUCCCAUCCAAAUAUCUAAUGAAGGAAUAACUACAAGUUAUUUAGGAAGGAAAAUUAUAUUUAAUUUUUCUACUAAACCAAUCUCCAGAAAUAUAAAUCUUAUAGAAAAUAAUAUUAACCAAAUUAACUUCUUAAAAGAAGAAGUAUCGUUUAAUAAUAUCCAAGUACAACUAGGAAAACCCCAAAUAAAGGAGAAAAUCCAAUCUUUAUUAAGUCAUAUAGAAUCAACUUUUUGUUCUGAAUUGCCACAUGCAUUUUGGGACAGAAAGAAACAUAUUGUUGAUCUUCCUUAUGAGAAAGGUUUUAGGGAAAAACAAAUUCCCACAAAAGCUAGACCAAUCCAAAUGAAUGAAGAACUCCUUCAAUAUUGCCAAAAGGAAAUUAAAGAUUUACUUGAUAAAGGUUUAAUUCGGAAAAGUAGAAGUCCAUGGUCUUGUGCGGCUUUUUAGGUCAACAAACAAUCCGAGAUUGAGCGAGGAACACCCCGCUUAGUCAUAAAUUACAAACCGUUAAAUCAAGCAUUACAAUGGAUCAGGUAUCCUAUUCCAAAUAAAAAAGACAUACUUAACAGAUUAAAUUCUGCAAAGGUAUUUUCAAAAUUUGACAUGAAAUCCGGAUUCUGGCAAAUCCAAAUCCAAGAAUCAGAUAGGUACAAAACGGCGUUUACUGUACCUUUCGGGCAAUAUGAGUGGAAUGUAAUGCCAUUCGGACUGAAGAAUGCCCCUUCAGAAUUUCAAAAAAUCAUGAAUGAUAUUUUCAAUCCUUAUUCAAAAUUCGUCAUUGUUUACAUUUAUGAUGUUUUAAUCUUCUCCCAAGAUAUUGAUCAACAUUUCAAAAACCUCUAGACUUUCAUCCAUAUCAUUAAACAGAAUGGUUUGGCAGUCUCCAAAUCAAAGAUCAAUCUUUUCCAGACACGGAUACGAUUCCUUGGACACAAUAUAUACCAAGGUACAAUCAUCCCAAUAGAAAGAUCAAUAGAGUUUGCUAGCAAAUUCCCUAACCAAAUCUUGGAUAAGACCCAGUUACAACGAUUUCUGGGGUGCCUAAAUUAUGUAGGAGAAUAUGUCCCCUAUCUAAACAAUAUUGUCAAACCAUUACAUGAUAGGCUGAAAAAGAAUCUGCCUCCUUGGUCUGACCUCCAUACUCAAACAGUUAAAGAAAUCAAAGUCAAAGUCCAAUCUAUAAAAUGUUUGCAUCUUACCAUUCCACGGGCAUUCAAAAUUGUCGAAACUGAUGCAUCAGACAUCGGUUAUGGUGGCAUCCUCAAACAACAAGUACAUGGUCAAGAACAUGUCAUUGCAUAUACUUCAAAACAUUGGAAUCCUGCACAAUUAAAAUAUUCAACUGUUAAAAAAGAAUUUUUAGCAAUUGUUUUAAGCAUUUCCAAAUUUCAAUCUGAUUUAUUGAAUCAAAAAAUUUUAGUAAGGGUUGACUGCAAAUCAGCCAAAGACAUUUUACAAAAGGAUGUCAAAAACCUUGCCUCAAAACAAAUUUUUGCAAGAUGGCAAGCAAUUUUAAGCGUCUUUGAUUUUAACAUAGAAUAUAUCAAGGGCUCUUCAAACUCUCUACCUGACUACCUCACCCGUGAAUUUUUACAGAAAAUUCUCGAUGCCUCCUAAGGUGUCUAGCUCCUCCGGAAGAGGAGGAAGAUCCAGUACUAAAGGAAAAGAUGUUCUAUUGGCUCUACCAGAGCCAAUAACCAAGAAGGCAACUGUGUCAUCUUCUGGGUCACCUACCCAGACUGGGUCAUCAACCCAGAAAGAAAAGCUUGAAGGGUCAUUGACCUAGAUAACUACCAUUAAACCUGAGUCAUCAACUCAGGAAUCCCCAAAACCAACAACAACAAAACAGACCGUGGCUGACUAUGCCUGGUCAAUACAAACUCUCCUGGCCUUAGAAGACAUAGGCCUCACCAGAGUACCAACAUUGGCCAAAAAGACCUGGGCAGAAAUGGCCUCAGAAUCAGACGAUGAUUCUGAAACAGACCUGCAAAAACAAAUUCAAAAAGCCAAACAGACCAAAACUGUCUGUAACCAAAAACCAAGCCAACCGUUGACUCAACGAGAAUCAACACCACAACCCAGCAACAGCUAUAUUUCAAAAAACAAAUUCUUCAAUGUCUUACAAAUGGAACCAGAAUAUUGGGACAAGAAUCCUUUCAAGGCAACCGCCAAAGUAUUCCCCCCGGGAUUUCAUUAUAGGCCAACAGCCACAAACAAAACCAGAAAAUUCUAUGAAUUCAUUCUAAUAGAUACAAACUUCGUAUCUAUUAAACAUUUCAAGGACCCCAAAGAUCCAAAUCUAAACACCCACUCCACAAUCCAGAUCCUAAAGGUGAUGCAGCCACGACAUUAUGGCUCAAACUUAAACCAACCCAAAAAAUUUUCUGCACCUUUUGACCCUGCAGGAUAUAAUUAUUGGGAUUACAUUGACGCCUGGACCAAUGUGUUCUGGCAUCAAAAUAGUAAAUUCAAGCAUUCAUGGCUAAUUUACUUCAAAAAUAACACCGUGUAUAAUUUUCCAAAUUGGUUCCUCCAAUGGUGGAACUACUUCGGACCAAUUCCACAGAUAUUUCCAGAAGAAGUCCAACAGGGAUUCCAACAAUUCAGCAAGCUCUUCAACAGCAAGGAAUCAAGAAUUCCGACAGACUUAAAAUACUUUUCCAGUUUUGCCAUGUCAUGGAUUUUUUCAUGGCAAUACAGAUAUGGAAAAACCGAAAAUAGCAAGCAGUAUCCACCGUUGCAGAGACACGCCUUUGUAAAAUGGUGGUCACAAUUCGAUACCUCAAAUGCUGCUCCAGAACAAGUCAAGAACUGGUUUCAGAGCAACCCUGAGUUUCUCAAACCUGCUGAUCCAGAGACAUCUUUGUUUCUGAAUCAGAAGUCUCAACUUGCAGCAUUCUUGGCAAGCUCAAAAUCUAAAGAAAGUCUUGCUCAGAAUCUUAAGGAAGUUCUCCAACUACUUCAACAGGAAGAAGAAGAAGAACCCCCCAAGAAGGAAGCCGAAUCAUCCGAAAAUAAUGAUGACCAAGAAGAUGAUCCAUUCUACCAGAAUGAGGAUGACUGUUUUGGUAUAUCGUUAGACGAUGAUUAGUUAGUUGUAGUAAUAAUGAAUUAUUGUAACUAAUUACUCGGUACCUGAUAAUAAUGUAAUGUGUAAAAAGUUUUUGUAACAGUUCCGGUAAACAUUACCGACACUAUAGAUACAGUAAAAUCUUGGGAAGAAUGAAAGAUAUCAAUCAAAACAUAGAUGACUGGAACAUCCCAGAAAACAUGGAUGACCCAAGAGGUCGCCCCUAAACACAAUCUCUUCGAUGAGGAAGUCCGAUUCGAAGAUAUCAAUCAAAACAUGGAUGACUGGAACAUCCCAAAAAUCCCUCAGGAUGAACUAUACGUUCCUGAAACAAUGAAAGAUAAACACAACUUUGAUUACAUAAUCAAAACAGUAGAAAACAAUACUCCUCUAGGGCAAGACAUAGGGGAAGAAUUCCAUUUACUUUCAAAAAAUUCAAUUUAUGAACAUAGUUGAAAGUAUAAAUAUUUACACAUCGGCUAUGUACAAGUAGCCAUCAAGCCCUUAAUAGACAUUGGCUUUUGUCAUAUCCGUAAUAAACAAGGUUGUUUCUCCCUUUUGUGGUUGCAACAGGACUCUAGAGGCACAAGUGUUCAUGACCUUGUACUGGAUCCUAUAGAUUAAAGCCGCUGGGAUUGAUCCUUCUUUCAUGUCAAGGCCUGCAGACCUAUCUUUCCAUAAGGAUGGGUCUCCAAUAAAAUGUUGAGCUAUUGUAAAAAUUAAGGUAUUGACAGCGUCAGGAAUCUCUUUAUCAUCGUCAUUAGUAAUGACUUUUCCGUUGAGAUCCGUUUUGACUGCGCUGUAAAUUUUUUAUUUCUCCUCAUUAGUGAGAUAAUUAUCCUACCAUCCUUUCAGUUGUCCAGAAAACCCUGCCACUAAGAUGUCUAUAAUGGUUUCUUCUGAACAUUCGUGGGAGGUUUGGUAAGCCGUAGCUACCAUGGUCAUAUGUUGGAGUGUAUUCAUGAUAUUAUACUCCGUUUGUGCAUCUAUGUUCCAUUCAUAGAUGUUGUUUGCACUAAAACUCUUGAAAUUGUUUUCUCCUCUUUCUUCUAAUAGAAGGUCAGGGGCAGUUGGACGUUGAUAAUAUAAUUUGGAAGGUGUUUUCCAAUGUUUGGAAUUAAUUAGAUUUAUAUUCUUUUCUGACACUGAUCCUAUCUCAGUUGUGUUAUCUGAGUUUUGGUCACUAUCUUCAUUAAUGACAUUAAUUAAUUUGGAGGUACUUCUUGUUACCAUUUUGGAAGUAUUUUCCGAGGUUUGGGGAGUUUCUGGAAUGACCUUAAGUAAACUACCAAUCUUGUUUAGUAAUUCACUAUGAUUGUCACCUACUCCUUCAACUAAGGAUUUAGUUUUCCUAAGUUCUCUAAUCUUUCGUUUAGCUUUUUCACUAACUUUGAAAGGUUUGAACAGUGGUUUUUCAAUGGGAAUACUUGGAGAGGAUUCUUCAACCGAUUUUUGCUUAGGAACUACCUUAGUUUUAAUGGUUUCUCCUAAAAUUUGUAAAUAUUUAUUGGUGUAGUUUGCCUGUUCCAUUAGGCUUUUAAUAUCUUCAGAGGUUACUUCCUCAUUAAUAUCUUUUGUUUUAAAUGGGGUUGCCAUUACAGGUUUGUUGUUACUAUCUUUGAUAUUCGGGAGUUGAUAUUUGGUCAUGGGAGGUAAUUCCGAUUGGAUCAUCUCACCAUCUCUUACUUGCCAGUUGGUUAUAACAUUUGUUGAUGGAUCACCUAUGAUGUCUUGCUUCCAUGGGUAAUCUAUAUAUUUUCUUAUGCUGUAAGCAUGGAACCAAUCAAAGAAAAGGACAUUAACUUUGACCCUUUCGACAAAUUCGUAGAACUUGUCUUGGAUCUAUUUUCUGUUUGUACCCUUGUAAUUCUGGAAAAACCAUCUCCUUUGAGGCUCAUUCUUCGGAGAAUAAAAAUCUUUCCUAAGGGUUUCCUUAUCAAUGCUAAAGUUGUCAGAUAACAUCAUAAGGUUCCAUAGAAGAGUAUGUUGGGGAUUGGAUCGACUUUUGGUCGUCCUCCUGAUCUUGGUUAUAGGUUGUUCUUGGUAUGCUGGAAGUGGUAUCUAGUCCUUGGAGGUUUACAGUAGGGAACUGGUUAUGUAACUUAGAUCUGGUUAUACCUACUAGGAUUGAACGGGUUCUAACCGAAAAAGACCUUCUGGCUGACUUGUAUUCAGACCUAGAGGCUUCUAUCCUUCAUGAGAAGGAAUUUAUCCUAUUGAAGGUUAUUUCUACCUUUCCGGAGUUAUCCUGUUUAAUGUCCUCAAUAAUUGGAACGGGUCGGGGAUCAGACGGUGUGGCCUUCUCCAUGACCCAUUUUUCGGGGAGAGUUACUUCAUCCCAUUUUAUUAUUCUUUUUAAAGAGACGUUGGCUUUUGUCAUAUCGGUAAUAAACAAGGUUGUUUCUCCCUUUUGUGGUUGCAACAGGACUCUAGAGGCACAAGUGUUCAUGACCUUGUACUGGAUCCUAUAGAUUAAAGCCGUUGGGAUUGAUCCUUCUUUCAUGUCAAGGCCAUGAAAGUGGAUGUUUAAGAACAGAGAGUCGAGAAUGUUUCUGUCCAUCAGACUCACUGUUUUGUUUGGAUAACAAUUAAAAUAUACUGGACCCUGUCCUAGGCUAGUUUCGACUGUUCCAAUUAAGGAGUCUUCAAAUUUAUUAUGCCUAAUAUCUCUUAGACACAUUAACACUGCUGCAUCUAUGCCCAUGUCUAUUAAGGGCUUGAUGGCUACUUGUACACAGCCGAUGUGUAAAUAUUUAUACUUUCGACUAUGUUCAUAAAUUGAAUUUUUUGAAAGUAAAUGGAAUUCUUCCCCUAUGUCUUGCCCUAGAGGAAUAUUGUUUUCUACUGUUUUGAUUAUGUAAUCAAAGUUGUGUUUAUCUUUCAUUGUUUCAGGAACGUAUAGUUGAUCCUGAGGGAUUUCUGGGAUGUUCCAGUCAUCCAUGCUUUGAUUGAUAUCUUCGAAUCGGACUUCCUCAUCGAAGAGAUUGUGUUUAGGGGCGACCUCUUGGGUCUGGUUAUCUUGAUCACUUAAUAAGUUUGAAUUUCUGGAAGAAGUUGAUGAAGAGGAAUUAGACCGAAAGGAAAUACGUGAAAAAGAACGCAGGAGUUUAGACAUGAUUAUAAAAUCCUCUAAUAUCUUCGCCCUCAUUUGGUUCCAUAGAAAUAUUUCCGUAAGUAUAUACGUAACAAAAUUUUUCAGGAUCUGAAUUAUUUUUAAGAAAAAACUCUUUUUUUUUAAUUAGUUUGAACGGCAAUCCUAUAGCCACCAGUAUAUUAUGUCUUGAUAUUUUGGUUAAACAGUACACCUCAGCCUUACUGCCCUUUAUCCACCACGGGUCUUACUGCUACAGUACCACUCAACUAAAAUAUUAGACUGUUGUACUUCCAGGAAGUACUGUUCAAACAUCUACUGUACAAAUUAAAAUAUAAUAUUACUCAUACUAUACAAGGUUUCAGUUUCAGAUCCAUAAAAUUUGUUAACAUACGUCCUUACGGACAGUAUUCCUACUUCCCCAUCAGGCUCUGAUACCAGAGAUCAGUAGAAUAAGAUCAAACGGAUAGAUAGGAAGUAAGAAUGCAGUAUGAUAAAUGAAAGGAAAAUAUAAACUUGUAAAACAGAUAUCAAGGGCACACCGGAAUCCGGCUUACAAAUCCCAGGUUUUCGAAAACAAAGAAACCGAAGUGGCGGCAGAGCCACACAGGAUCGGUGUAGGUUUUCGAAAACCAAGAAACCGAAACGGCGGCAGAGCCGCACAGGAUCGGUGAAGGGAGAAGGGAGAUGUGAAAAAUAGAACUUUGAAUUUAUUUCAAUCAAAAGAAAAGCUUACAAAGAGUUUUUCCCUAGGCAGAGCUUCUCUCUCUAAAACCUGGUUAUGAGACUAUUUGAAAGGGUGCCUCACAAAGGGAACGAGGACUCCUUUAAAUAGACCCAAGAUUUUACUGUAUCUACCGUGUCGGUAAUGUUUACCAGAACUGUUACAAAAACUUUUUACAAAUUACAUUAUUAUCGGGUACCGAGUAAUUAGUUACAAUAAUUCAUGAUUACUACAACUAACUAAUCAUCGUCUAACGAUAUACCAAAACAGUCAUCCUCAUUCUGGUAGAAUGGAUCAUCUUCUUGGUCAUCAUUAUUUUCGGAUGAUUCGGCUUCCUUCUUGGGGGGUUCUUCUUCUUCUUCCUAUUGAAGUAGUUGGAGAACUUCCUUAAGAUUCUGAGUAAGACUUUCUUUAGAUUUUGAGCUUGCCAAAAAUGCUACAAGUUGAGACUUCUGAUUCAGAAACAAAGAUGUCUCUGGAUCAGCAGGUUUGAGAAACUCAGGGUUGCUCUGAAACCAGUUCUUGACUUGUUCUGGAGCAGCCUUUGAGGUAUCGAAUUGUGACCACCACUUUACAAAGGUGUGUCUCUGCAAUGGUGGAUACUGCUUGCUAUUUUCGGUUUUUCCAUAUCUGUAUUGCCAUGAAAAAAUCCAUGACAAGGAAAAACUGGAAAAGUAUUUUAAGUCUGUCGGAAUUCUUGAUUCCUUGUUGUUGAAGAGCUUGCUGAAUUGUUGGAAUCCCUGUUGGACUUCUUCUGGAAAUAUCUGUGGAAUUGGUCCGAAGUAGUUCCACCAUUGGAGGAACCAAUUUGGAAAAUUAUACACGGUGUUAUUUUUGAAGUAAAUUAGCCAUGAAUGCUUGAAUUUACUAUUUUGAUGCCAGAACACAUUGGUCCAGGCGUCAAUGUAAUCCCAAUAAUUAUAUCCUGCAGGGUCAAAAGGUGCAGAAAAUUUUUUGGGUUGGUUUAAGUUUGAGCCAUAAUGUCGUGGCUGCAUCACCUUUAGGAUCUGGAUUGUGGAGUGGGUGUUUAGAUUUGGAUCUUUGGGGUCCUUGAAAUGUUUAAUAGAUACGAAGUUUGUAUCUAUUAGAAUGAAUUCAUAGAAUUUUCUGGUUUUGUUUGUGGCUGUUGGCCUAUAAUGAAAUCCCGGGGGGAAUACUUUGGCGGUUGCCUUGAAAGGAUUCUUGUCCCAAUAUUCUGGUUCCAUUUGUAAGACAUUGAAGAAUUUGUUUUUUGAAAUAUAGCUGUUGCUGGGUUGUGGUGUUGAUUCUCGUUGAGUCAACGGUUGGCUUGGUUUUUGGUUACAGACAGUUUUGGUCUGUUUGGCUUUUUGAAUUUGUUUUUGCAGGUCUAUUUCAGAAUCAUCGUCUAAUUCUGAGGCCAUUUCUGCCCAGGUCUUUUUGGCCAAUGUUGGUACUCUGGUGAGGCCUAUGUCUUUUAAGGCCAGGAGAGUUUGUAUUGACCAGGCAUAGUCAGCCACGGUCUGUUUUGUUGUUGUUGGUUUUGGGGAUUCCUGAGUUGAUGACUCAGGUUUAAUGGUAGUUAUCUGGGUCAAUGACCCUUCAAGCUUUCCUUUCUGGGUUGAUGACCCAGUCUGGGUAGGUGACCCAGAAGAUGACGCAGUUGCCUUCUUGGUUAUUGGCUCUGGUAGAGCCAAUAGAACAUCUUUUCCUUUAGUACUGGAUCUUCCUCCUCUGCCGGAGGAGCUAAACACCUUAGGAGGCAUCGGGAAUUUUCUAUAAAAAUUCACGGGUGAGGUAGUCAGGUAGAGAGUUUGAAGAGCCCUUGAUAUAUUCUAUGUUAAAAUCAAAGACGCUUAAAAUUGCUUGCCAUCUUGCAAAAAUUUGUUUUGAGGCAAGGUUUUUGACAUCCUUUUGUAAAAUGUCUUUGGCUGAUUUGCAGUCAACCCUUACUAAAAAAUUUUGAUUCAAUAAAUCAUAUUGAAAUUUGGAAAUGCACAAAACAAUUGCUAAAACUUCUUUUUUUAACAGUUAAAUAUUUUAAUUGUGCAGGAUUCCAAUGUUUUGAAGUAUAUGCAAUGACAUGUUCUUCACCAUGUACUUGCUGUUUGAGGAUGCCACCAUAACCGAUAUCUGAUGCAUCAGUUUCGACAAUUUUGAAUGCCUGUGGAAUGGGAAGAUACACACAUUUUAUGGAUUGGACUUUGACUUUGAUUUCUUUAACUGUUUGAGUAUGGAGGUCAGACCAAGGAGGCGGAUUCUUUUUCAACCUAUCAUGUAAUGGUUUGACAAUAUUGUUUAGAUAGGGGACAAAUUCUCCUACAUAAUUUAGGCACCCCAGAAAUCGUUGUAACUGGGUCUUAUCCAAGAUUUGGUUAGGGAAUUUGCUAGCAAACUCUAUUGAUCUUUCUAUUGGGAUGAUUGUACCUUGGUAUAUAUUGUGUCCAAGGAAUCGUAUCCGUGUCUGGAAAAGAUUGAUCUUUGAUUUGGAGACUGCCAAACCAUUCUGUUUAAUGAUAUGGAUGAAAGUCUGGAGGUGUUUGAAAUGUUGAUCAAUAUCUGGGGAGAAGAUUAAAACAUCAUCAAUGUAAACAAUGACGAAUUUUGAAUAAGAAUUGAAAAUAUCAUUCAUGAUUUUUUGAAAUUCUGAAGGGGCAUUCUUCAGUCCGAAUGGCAUUACAUUCCACUCAUAUUGCCCGAAAGGUACAGUAAACGCCGUUUUGUACCUAUCUGAUUCUUGGAUUUGGAUUUGCCAGCAUCCGGAUUUCAUGUCAAAUUUUGAAAAUACCUUUGCAGAAUUUAAUCUGUUAAGUAGGUCUUUUUUAUUUGGAAUAGGAUACCUGAUCCAUUGUAAUGCUUGAUUUAACGGUUUGUAAUUUAUGACUAAGCGUGGUGUUCCUCGCUCAAUCUCGGAUUGUUUGUUGACAUAAAAAGCCGCACAAGACCAUGGACUUUUACUUUUCCGAAUUAAACCUUUAUCAAGUAAAUCUUUAAUUUACUUUUGGCAAUAUUGAAGGAGUUCUUCAUUCAUUUGGAUUGGUCUAGCUUUUGUGGGAAUUUUUUUUCCCUAAAAUAUUUCUGAUAAGGAAGAUCAACAAUAUGUUUCUUUCUGUCCCAAAAUGCAUGUGGCAAUUCAGAACAAACAGUUGAUUCUAUAUGACUUAAUAAAGAUUGGAUUUUCUCCUUUAUUUGGGGUUUUCCUAGUUGUACUUGGAUAUUAUUAAACGAUACUUCUUCUUUUAAGAAGUUAAUUUGGUUAAUCUUAUUUUCUAUAAGAUUUAUAUUUCUGGAGAUUGGUUUAGUAGAAAAAUUAAAUAUAAUUUUCCUUCCUAAAUAACUUGUAGUUAUUCCUUCAUUAGAUAUUAGGAUGGGAAAUAAAGCUCUUAUGAAGGGAGUUCCUAGGAUUACUUCGUUUUUAAGGUUUUUUACCAGAAGAAAGUUUGUGUUAAUCCUAAGACCUUGGAUUUCAAUAAUUGCAUUUGAGAAUUUAAAAUUAAUUUUUAAUUUUGAGCCGUUUGUUGUACUAAGUUUCUCCGAGGUUUUCUCAAAGAAUUUUGUAGGAAUUAAUCCUUCUAAAAUACAGUUUGAGUCAGCCCCUGUGUCGAAUAGGGCCAUUGUUUCUAGAACAAAAUCAUUAAUAAUUAUUUUUAUGUUUAUGUAAAAAUUUUGGAUUUUAAUCUUGUUGAUUAAUCCCAUAAACAUAUCGUCUUCUAGAUUUUCUGGUUGAUUUUCCUCACUGUUGGUAUUUUCAGAAUCACUUUCUACCUCAAGCUGAGAAAGAAUGAUCUGAUGAAUUUCUUGUUGUUGACGAAGUUCUUUUACUUCUCUUUUUAGAUUGUUUAUCUCUGUUUGGAGAUCUUGGAUAGUCAUUGGUUUGGUUGAAGAAUUUUCUAAUCUCUUGAGUAUGUUACUUACAUCAAACUUGUUGUUUGCAAUAAAAUCUUUUUGUCUAGGUUUUACCUCUAAGGUCUUCUUGAGUUUUUCCAGAAAAACCUUCUUUUCUUGGGGGUCAGGGAUGGAAUUAAUUGCUUCAAACAAGAGAUCUUGUUCUCUUGUUAGAGUAUUAAUUUGCUUAUCAUCAUCAUCCGUUGAUGAUAAUUGGUCAUCUUGUUGAAUUAAGUUUAGAUUUUCGUCGGAAAAUACGGAGGAUGAAGUUUCAGUUUCAGUUUCUUCCUCUGAAGUUUCUAUGAGUAAAUUGUUUAUUUGUUCUUCGAUUGUGGGUUCUAGGUUAAGGUUCCUUAAUUUUUUUCUUUAGUCUACAAUACUUACUAAUGUGGCCUUGUUUUCCACAAUUGUAGCAUGUUAUUUUUGAUUUUAUUUUUUGCUUAGGAUUUUCUAUUUCCUUACUAGUUGAGGGUUUUUGAGAGUAUCUUCUUUUUGAAAAUCUUCUUCUAUUGGCUGGUUUAUGAUCCUGGAUUUCUUUCCUAGAGGUUUGUUUCUUCUUUUGUUUUGGGCAGGCUGGUAAGCCAAAUUAUUCACAGAAGGAACCUAAAUCCUUCUUUGUUUGAGCUUUUUCUUUGGCUAAUUGCCUCUGAAUUUUGUCAUCCUGGCAGAUUUUUAAGGCUACCUUUUGGACAUAGGAAAUUAAUUGGCCAUAGCUUAAGUUUUCAUAUGGAAUGUCUCCAUUGGCAGAUUGACUAAGAAAACAAUUUUAAGAGUUUUAGUGCAAACAACAUCUAUGAAUGGAACAUAGAUGCACAAACGGAGUAUAAUAUCAUGAAUACACUCCAACAUAUGACCAUGGUAGCUACGGCUUACCAAUCCUCCCAUGAAUGUUCAGAAGAAACCAUUAUAGACAUCUUAGUGGCAGAGUUUUCUGGACAACUGAAAGGAUGGUGGGAUAAUUAUCUCACUAAUGAGGAGAAAUAAAAAAUUUACAGCGCAGUCAAAACGGAUCUCAACGGAAAAUUCAUUACUAAUGAUGAUGAUAAAGAGAAUCCUGACGCUGUCAAUACCUUAAUUUUUACAAUAGCACAAAAUUUUAUUGGAGACCCAUCCUUAUGGAAAGAUAGGUCUGCAGAAUUAUUAUCAAACCUUAAGUGUAGAACCUUAGCAGAUUUUAGGUGGUACAGAGAUACUUUCCUAACUAGGGUUUACACCAGAGAAGAUAGUCAACAACCAUUCUGGAAAGAAAAAUUUCUAGCUGGUCUUCCCAGAUCAUUAGGAGACAAGGUUAGGGAUAAAAUUUGCAGUCAACCCUUACUAUAUAUAUAUAUAUAUAUGUAGUUUACUUAAGGUCAUUCCAGAUACUCCCCAAGCCUCGGAAAAUACUUCCAAAAUAGUAACAAGAAGUACCUCCAAAUUAAUUAAUGUUAUUAAUGAAGAUAGUGACCGAAAUUCAGAUAACACAACUGAGAUAGGAUCAGUGUCAGAAAAGAAUAUAAAUCCAAUUAAUUCCAAACACUGGAAAACACCCUCCAAAUUAUAUUAUCAACGUCCAACUGCCCCUGACCUUCUAUUAGAAGAAAGAGGUGAAAAUAAUCGAAACCAGCCUAGGUCAAGGUCCAAUAUAUUUUAACUGUUAUCCAAACCAAACAGUGAGUCUGAUGGACAGAAACAUUCUUGACUCUCUGUUCUUAAACAUCCACUUUCAUGGCCUUGACAUGAAAGAAGGAUCAAUCCCAACAGCCUUAAUUUAUAGGAUCCAGUACAAAGUCAUGAAUACUUGUGCAUCUAGAGUCCUGUUAAAACCUCAAAAAGGAGAAACAACUUUGUUUAUCACUGAUAUGACAAAGGCUAAUGUUUCUCUCCCGAGAAAAAUAAAAUGGGAUGAAGUAACUCUUCCCGAAAGAUGGGUUAUGGAUAAAGCAACACCGUCUAUUCCCCGACCCGCUCCAACCAUAGAGCAUAUUAAGCAAGAUAACUCCGGAAAGGUAGAGAUAACCUUCAAUAGGAGAAAUUCUUUUUCAUCAAGGAUAGAAGCCUCUAGGUCUGAAUAUGAAUCAGCCAGAAGGUCUUUUUCGGUUAGAACCCGUUCAAUUCCAGUAGGACUAAUCAGAUCUGAGUCACAUAACCAGUUCCCUACUGUAAACCUCCAAGGAUUAGACACUACCUCUAGCAUACCUAGAACAACUUACAACCAAGAACAAGAGGACGACCAAAAGUCGAUCCAAUCCCCAACAUACUCUUCUAUGGAACCUUAUGAUGUUAUCUGACAACUUUAGCAUUGAUAAGGAAACCCUUAGGAAAGAUUUCUAUUCUCCGGAUAAUGAACCUCAAAGGAGAUGGUUUUUCCAACAUUACAAGGGUACAAACAGAAAACAAGUCCAAGACAAGUUCUACGAAUUUGUCGAAAGAGUCAAAAUUAAUGUCCUUUUCUUUGAUUGGUUUCAUGUUUAUGCCAUCAGAAAGGAUAUAGAUUACCCUUGGAAACAAGACAUCAUAGGUGAUCCAACAACAAAUGUCAUAACAAACUGGCAAGUGAAGGAUGGUGAGUUAAUCCAAUCGGAAUUACCUCCCACAACACAAUAUCAACUACCAAAUAUCAAAGACAGUAACAAUAAACCUGUCAUGGCAAUUCCAUUCAAGACAAAAGAUGUCAACGAGGAAGUAACCUCUAAAGACAUCAAAAGCCUAAUGGAACAGGAAAAUUAUACCAAUAAAUACUUACAAGCUUUAAGAGAAACCAUUAAAACUAAGGUAGUUCCUAAACAAAAAUCAAUUGAGGAAGCUUCGCCAAGUGUCCCCAUUGAAAAACCUUUAUUCAAACCUUUCAAAGUUAGUGAGAAGGCUAAACGAAAAAUUAGGGAACUUAGAAAAACUAAAUCCUUAACUGAAGGCGUAGGUGACAAUCAUAGUGAAUUACUAAACAAGAUUGGUAGUUUACUUAAGGUCAUUCCAGAUACUCCCCAAGCCUCGGAAAAUACUUCCAAAAUAGUAACAAGAAGUACCUCCAAAUUAAUUAAUGUUAUUAAUGAAGAUAGUGACCAAAAUUCAGAUAACACAACUGAGAUAGGAUCAGUGUCAGAAAAGAAUAUAAAUCCAAUUAAUUCCAAACACUGGAAAACACCCUCCAAAUUAUAUUAUCAACGUCCAACUGCCCUUGACCUUCUAUUAGAAGAAAGAGGUGAAAACAAUUUUAAAAGUUUUAGUGCAAAUAACAUCUAUGAAUGGAACAUAGAUGCACAAACGGAGUAUAACAUCAUGAAUACACUCCAACAUAUGACCAUGGUAGCCACGGCUUACCAAACCUCCCAUGAAUGUUCAGAAGAAACAAUUAUAGAUAUCUUAGUGGCAGGAUUUUCUGGACAACUAAAAGGAUGGUGGGAUAAUUAUCUCACUAAUGAGGAGAAAUAAAAAAUUUACAGCGCAGUUAAGACGGAUCUCAAUGGAAAAGUCAUUACUAAUGACGAUGAUAAAGAGAUUCCUGACGCUGUUAACACAUUAAUUUUUACAAUAGCCCAACAUUUCAUUGGAGACCCAUCCUUGUGGAAAGAUAGGUCUACAAAAAUAUUAUCAAAUCUUAAGUGUAGAACCUUAGCGGAUAUUAGGUUGUAUAGAGAUAUUUUCCUAACUAGGGUUUACACAAGAGAAGAUAGUCAACAACCUUUUUGGAAAGAAAAAUUUCUAGCCGGUCUUCCCAGAUCAUUAGGAGACAAGGUUAGAGAUAAAAUCCGUAGUCAAUCUGCCAAUGGAGACAUUCCAUAUGAAAACAUAAGCUAUGGUCAAUUAAUUUCCUAUGUCCAAAAGGUAGCCUUAAAAAUCUGCCAGGACGACAAAAUUCAGAGGCAAUUAGCCAAAGAAAAAGCUCAAACAAAGAGGGAUUUAGGUUCCUUCUGUGAACAAUUUGGCUUACCAGCCUGUCCAAAACAAAAGAAAAAACAGACCUCUAGGAAAGAAGCCCAGGAUCAUAAGCCAGCCAAUAGAAGAAGAUUUUCAAAACAAAGAUACUCUCAAAAACCCGCAACCAGUAGAGAAAUGGAAAAUCCUAAACAAAAAAUAAAAUAAAAAAUAACGUGCUACAAUUGUGGAAAACAAGGCCACAUUAGCAAAUAUUGUAGACUAAAAAAGAAGUUAAGAAACCUUAACCUAGAACCCGCAAUUGAAGAGCAAAUAAACAAUUUGCUCAUAGAAACCUCGGAGGAGGAAACAGAAACUUCAUCCUCCGCGCUUUCCAAUGAAAACCUAAACCUAAUCCAACAAGAUGACCAACUAUCAUCAACAGAUGAUGAUGGGCAAAUCAAUACUCUAACGAGAGAACAAGAUCUCUUGUUUGAAGCAAUCAAUUCCAUACCUGACCCCCAGGAAAAGAAGGUUUUCCUGGAAAAACUCAAGAAAACAUUAGAGGUAAAGCCUAGACAAAAGGAUUUUAUCACGAACAACAAAUUUGAUGUAAGUAACAUACUCAAGAGAUUAGAAAAUUCUUCAACCAAACCAACGACAAUCCAAGAUCUCCAAACAGAGAUAAACAAUCUAAAAAGAGAGGUAAAAGAACUUCGUCAACAACAAGAAAUUCAUCAGAUCAUUCUUUCUCAGCUCGAGGAAGAUAGUGAUUCUGAAAGUGCCAACAACGGUGAAGAAAAUCAACCAGAAAAUUUAGAAGAUGAUAUGUUUAUGGGAUUAAUCAACAAGAUUAAAAUCCAAAAAUUUUACAUAAACAUAAAAAUAAUUAUUAAUGAUUUCGUUUUAGAAACAAUUGCCCUAUUUGACACAGGGGCUGAUUCAAACUGCAUUUUAGAAGGAUUUAUUCCUACAAAAUUCUUUGAGAAAACCUCAGAAAAAUUAAGUACGGCAAACGGCUCAAAAUUAAAAAUUAAUUUUAAGCUAUCAAAUGCAAUCAUUGAAAACCAAGGUCUUAGGAUUAACACAAACUUUCUUCUGGUAAAAACCUUAAGAAUGAAGUAAUCUUAGGAACGCCCUUCAUUAGAGCCCUGUUUCCCAUCCAAAUAUCUAAUGAAGGAAUAACCACAAAUUAUUUAGGAAGAAAAAUUAUAUUUAAUUUUUCUACUAAACCAAUUUCCAGAAAUAUAAAUCUUAUAGAAAAUAAGAUUAAUCAAAUUAACUUCUUAAAAGAAGAAGUAUCUUUUAAUAAUAUUCAGAUACAACUGGGAAAACCCCAAGUAAAAGAAAGAAUUCAAUCUUUAUUAAAUCAUAUUGAAUCGACCGUUUGUUCUGAAUUGCCACAUGCAUUUUGGGACAGAAAGAAAGAUAUUGUCGAUCUCCCUUAUGAGAAAGACUUUAGGGAAAAACAAAUUCCCACAAAAGCCAGACCAAUCCAAAAGAAUGAAGAACUUCUUCAAUACUGUCAAAAGGAAAUCAAGGAUUUGCUUGAUAAAGGCCUAAUCCGGAAAAGCAAGAGCCCAUGGUCUUGUGCGGCUUUUUAUGUCAACAAACAAUCUGAGAUUGAGCGUGGAACACCCCGCUUAGUCAUAAAUUGCAAACCACUAAAUCAAGCAUUACAAUGGAUUAGAUAUCCUAUUCCAAACAAAAAAGAUUUGCUUAACAAAUUAAAUUCUGCAAAGAUAUUUUCAAAAUUUGAUAUGAAAUCUGGAUUUUGGCAAAUCCAAAUCCAAGAACCAGAUAGGUACAAAACAGCGUUUACUGUACCUUUCGGGCAAUAUGAAUGGAACGUAAUGCCAUUCGGACUGAAGAAUGCCCCUUCAGAAUUUCAAAAAAUUAUGAAUGAUAUUUUUAAUCCCUAUUCAAAAUUUGUCAUUGUCUACAUAGAUGAUGUUUUAAUCUUUUCCCAAAACAUUGACCAACAUUUCAAACAUCUCCAAACCUUCAUCCAUAUCAUCAAACAAAAUGGUUUGGCAGUCUCCAAAUCAAAAAUCAAUCUUUUCCAAACACGAAUUCGAUUCCUUGGUCACAAUAUAUAUCAAGGUACAAUCAUUCCAAUCGAAAGGUCAAUAGAGUUUGCUAGCAAAUUCCCCAACCAAAUCUUAGACAAAACCCAGUUACAAAGAUUUCUAGGUUGUCUAAAUUACGUAGGUGAAUUUGUCCCCUACUUAAAUAAUAUUGUCAAGCCAUUACAUGAUAGACUGAAGAAAAAUCCGCCUCCUUGGUCUGACCUCCAUACACAAACAGUUAAAGAAAUCAAAGUCAAAGUCCAAUCCAUUAAAUGUCUGUAUCUUCCUAUUCCACAGGCAUUCAAAAUUGUCGAAACUGAUGCUUCAGACAUAGGUUAUGGUGGCAUCCUCAAACAAAGAGUCCAUGGCCAAGAUCAUGUCAUUGCAUAUACAUCAAAACAUUGGAAUCCUGCACAAUUAAAAUAUUCAACUGUUAAAAAAGAGGUUUUAGCAAUUGUUUUGUGCAUUUCCAAAUUUCAAUCGGAUUUAUUAAACCAAAAAUUUUUAAUCAGGGUUGAUUGUAAAUCAGCCAAAGAUAUUUUACAGAAAGAUGUUAAAAACCUUGCCUCAAAACAAAUUUUUGCACGAUGGCAAGCAAUUUUAAGUGUCUUUGAUUUUGACAUAGAAUACAUCAAGGGCACCUCAAAUUCACUACCUGACUACCUUACCCGUGAAUUCUUACAGAAAAGUGGUAAUGCCUCCUAAGGCAUCGGGAAUCUCCCUACGGGGAGGAAGGAGUACAGGCAAAGGAGCCAGGCUGGCUCUUCCAGAGCCAACCAUCAAGAAAUCAUCUACCUCAUCUGGGUCACCAACCCAGGCUGGGUCAUCUACCCAGAAAACCAAUUUAGAAGGGUCAUCAACCCAGAUUGCCUCAAUCAAACCUGAGCCAUCCACUCAGGAAUCUCCCAAACCGGCAACCGCCAAACAAACAUCGGCCGACUAUGCAUGGCCAAUUGAAACCCUUCAGGCCCUUCAAGACAUGGGUCUGACCAAAUUUCCAAAAAUAAUCAAAAAAUCUUGGGCAGACAUUGCCUCAGAAUCUGAUGAUGAAUCUGAAUCAAAUUUACAAACAAUGAUCCAAAAUGCGUCAAUGACCAAAACAACCACCAAUACUAAAGGAAAACUACCUUUAGCCAAAGCUCAAACACCACCUACCAAACAAACUAACAAUUAUAUUUAUAAAAAUAAAUUGUUAACUGUUUUGCAGAUGGAACCUGAAUUUUGGGACAAAAAUCCCUUCAAGGCGACGGCCAAGGCUUUCCCACCAGGAUUUCACUACAAACCAACCACUAUCCUGAAGACAAGAACUUUUUAUGAAUUGAUUUUGGUAGAUUCGAACUCAGUAUCUAUCAAACAUUUCAAAGAUCCAAAAGACCAAACCUUAAACACCCACUCAACCAUCCAAAUACUAAAAGUUCUUCAACCAAGACACUUUGGUUCGGACUUGAACAAAGGAAAGAGAUUUUCAGUUCCAUUUGAUCCAGUAGGUUAUACCUAUUGGGAUUACGUUGAUGCUUGGACUAAGGUGUUUUGGCACCAAAAUACCCGCUUCAAACAUUCAUGGCUGAUAUAUUUCAAGACCAACACAAUUUACAAUUUUCCCAAUUGGUUUUUGCAAUGGUGGGACUUCUUUGGACCAAUCCCAGAGAUAUUCCCAGAAACGGUCCAACAAGGAUUUUCCCAAUUUAAGAAACAAUACAAUUCGCAGGAAUCACGAAUUCCAGCAGAUCUUAAAUACUUUUCAAGCUUUGCACUGUCAUGGAUAUUCUCAUGGCAAUAUCGUUACAGCAAGACUGAGAAGACAAACCAAUAUCCAUCACUACAAAGGCACGCAUUUGUAAAAUGGUGGACACAAUUUGACUCAUCCAAAGCGGAUGCAGAACAAGUAAAACUAUGGUUCCAAUCCCAUCCAGAAUUCCUCAAAGCAGCUGAUCCAGAGACUUCUGUGUUUUUGAACCAAAAGUCUCAUCUGGCAGCAUUUUUAGCAGGAUCGACAUCAAAGGAGGUCUUAGCUAAAAAUCUGAAGGAAGUUCUACAAAUGUUACAACAGGAAGAAGAAGCUUCAUCCUCAAAGAAGGAAGAAACAAGUUCUGCUGAAGAAGACGAAGAAGAUCCCUUUUACCAAAACGAAGAUGAUUGUUUUGGUAUCUGUUUAGAUUAAAUUUAAUUUCGGUCACAAAACCGUCUGUUUGUAAUUAAUGUGUAAUUAAUGCUGGACAAUACUACCUGUCCUGUAGCCAUUAAAGUCCCGGUCAAAACUACUUGUCUUGUAACAAACAGUCAAAUAGUCCCGGUCAAAACUACCGGCAACUACCGGUCUUAGAUUUUUGGCUAUAUAAGGAGUCCUCAAGCAUGUUGUGAGGCACCCUUUCAUUUAGCCAUUUUUCCAGGUUUCGGAAGAGAGGUGCUCUGAAACAAGAUUUUUGUAAGCGCUUCUUUCUAGAUUCAAUAAAUUUCUAUUUUUCAUCCUUCUCUCUUCUCCCUUCACCGAUCCUGUGCGGCUCUGCCGCCGCUUCGGUUUCUUUGUUUAUGAAAACCUGGGUUUUGUAAGCCGGUCUCCGGUGUGACCUUGAUAUCUGUUUUCAAAGUUUAUAUUUUCAUCAAAUAUACUGCAUUCUUACUUCCUAUCUGUCCGUUGAUCUUACUCCGCUGACCUCUGGUAUCAGAGCCUGAUGGGGAAGUAGGAAUAGUGUCCGUAAGGGCAUAUGUUAACUGAACUUAUGGAUCUGAAGCAUGUACAGUAAUUUUAAUUUAAACAGUAUGUGUUUGAACAGUAUUUUCUGGAAGCACAGCAGUCUGAUAUUUUAGUUGAAUGAUAUUGUAGCAGUAAGUCCCGUGGAUGAGAAAGCGCAGUAAGGCUAAGGUGUAUUGUUCAAAUAAAAUAUGGAGACAUAAUAUACUGGUGGCUAUAGGAGUAAUGUUCAAACUAUAUUGUCUGUGAAAAAAAAAAAUCUUCUUUUUCAUUUAUUCAGAUCCAAGAAGUUCUGUAACAUAUAGCCUUAUGGAAAGAUUCCUAUGGAACCAAAUGAAGGCAAAGAUAUUAGAGAAUGUUUUAAUUAUGUCUAGAUUAUUGCGAUCCUUUUCCCGUAUCUCUUUUCGCUCAAAUUCCUCCUCUUCAUCUUCUUCAAGAAACACCAAUCUCUUAAAUGAUCAAGAUAACCAGACCCAAGAGGUCGCCCCAAAACACAAUCUCUUCGAUGAGGAAGUCCGAUUCGAAGAUAUUAAUCAAAACAUGGAUGACUGGAACAUUCCAGAAAUCCCUCAGGAUCAACUAUACGUUCCUGAAACAAUUAAAGACAAACACAACUUUGAUUACAUAAUCAAAACAGUAGAAAACAAUAUUCCUCUAGGACAAGAUAUAGGGGAAGAAUUUCAUCUACUUUCAAAAAAUUCAAUUUAUGAACAUAGCCGUAAGGAUACACCUUAGCCUUACUGCCCUUUCUCAUCCACGGGACUUACUGCUACAGUAUCAUUCAACUAAAAUAUCAGACUACUGUGCUUCCAGAAAAUACUGUUCAAACACAUACUGUUUAAAUUAAAAUUACUGUACAUGCUUCAGAUCCAUAAGUUCAGUUAACAUAUGCCCUUACGGACACUAUUCCUACUUCCGCUGACCUCUGGAAGUAAGAAUGCAGUAUAUUUGAUGAAAAUAUAAACUUUGAAAACAGAUAUCAAGGUCACACCGGAGACCGGCUUACAAAACCCAGGUUUUCAUAAACAAAGAAACCGAAGCGGCGGCAGAGCCGCACAGGAUCGGUGAAGGGAGAAGAGAGAAGGAUGAAAAAUAGAAAUUUAUUGAAUCUAGAAAGAAGCGCUUACAAAAAUCUUGUUUCAGAGCACCUCUCUUCCGAAACCUGGAAAAAUGGCUAAAUGAAAGGGUGCCUCACAACAUGCUUGAGGACUCCUUAUAUAGCCAAAAAUCUAAGACCGGUAGUUGCCGGUAGUUUUGACCGGGACUAUUUGACUGUUUGUUACAAGACAAGUAGUUUUGACCGGGACUUUAAUGGCUACAGGACAGGUAGUAUUGUCCAGCAUUAAUUACACAUUAAUUACAAACAGACGGUUUUGUGACCGAAAUUAAAUUUAAUCUAAACAGAUACCAAAACAAUCAUCUUCGUUUUGGUAAAAGGGAUCUUCUUCGUCUUCUUCAGCAGAACUUGUUUCUUCCUUCUUUGAGGAUGAAGCUUCUUCUUCCUGUUGUAACAUUUGUAGAACUUCCUUCAGAUUUUUAGCUAAGACCUCCUUUGAUGUCGAUCCUGCUAAAAAUGCUGCCAGAUGAGACUUUUGGUUCAAAAACACAGAAGUCUCUGGAUCAGCUGCUUUGAGGAAUUCUGGAUGGGAUUGGAACCAUAGUUUUACUUGUUCUGCAUCCGCUUUGGAUGAGUCAAAUUGUGUCCACCAUUUUACAAAUGCGUGCCUUUGUAGUGAUGGAUAUUGGUUUGUCUUCUCAGUCUUGCUGUAACGAUAUUGCCAUGAGAAUAUCCAUGACAGUGCAAAGCUUGAAAAGUAUUUAAGAUCUGCUGGAAUUCGUGAUUCCUGCGAAUUGUAUUGUUUCUUAAAUUGGGAAAAUCCUUGUUGGACCGUUUCUGGGAAUAUCUUUGGGAUUGGUCCAAAGAAGUCCCACCAUUGCAAAAACCAAUUGGGAAAAUUGUAAAUUGUGUUGGUCUUGAAAUAUAUCAGCCAUGAAUGUUUGAAGCGGGUAUUUUGGUGCCAAAACACCUUAGUCCAAGCAUCAACGUAAUCCCAAUAGGUAUAACCUACUGGAUCAAAUGGAACUGAAAAUCUCUUUCCUUUGUUCAAGUCCGAACCAAAGUGUCUUGGUUGAAGAACUUUUAGUAUUUGGAUGGUUGAGUGGGUGUUUAAGGUUUGGUCUUUUGGAUCUUUGAAAUGUUUGAUAGAUACUGAGUUCGAAUCUACCAAAAUCAAUUCAUAAAAAGUUCUUGUCUUCAGGAUAGUGGUUGGUUUGUAGUGAAAUCCUGGUGGGAAAGCCUUGGCCGUCGCCUUGAAGGGAUUUUUGUCCCAAAAUUCAGGUUCCAUCUGCAAAACAGUUAACAAUUUAUUUUUAUAAAUAUAAUUGUUAGUUUGUUUGGUAGGUGGUGUUUGAGCUUUGGCUAAAGGUAGUUUUCCUUUAGUAUUGGUGGCUGUUUUGGUCAUUGACGCAUUUUGGAUCAUUGUUUGUAAAUUUGAUUCAGAUUCAUCAUCAGAUUCUGAGGCAAUGUCUGCCCAAGAUUUUUUGAUUAUUUUUGGAAAUUUGGUCAGACCCAUGUCUUGAAGGGCCUGAAGGGUUUCAAUUGGCCAUGCAUAGUCGGCCGAUGUUUGUUUGGCGGUUGCCGAUUUGGGAGAUUCCUGAGUGGAUGGCUCAGGUUUGAUUGAGGCAAUCUGGGUUGAUGACCCUUCUAAAUUGGUUUUCUGGGUAGAUGACCCAGCCUGGGUUGGUGACCCAGAAGAGGUAGAUGAUUUCUUGAUGGUUGGCUCUGGAAGAGCCAGCCUGUACUCCUUCCUCCCCGUAGGGAGAUUCCCGAUGCCUUAGGAGGCAUUACCACUUUUCUGUAAGAAUUCACGGGUAAGGUAGUCAGGUAGUGAAUUUGAGGUGCCCUUGAUGUAUUCUAUGUCAAAAUCAAAGACACUUAAAAUUGCUUGCCAUCGUGCAAAAAUUUGUUUUGAGGCAAGGUUUUUAACAUCUUUCUGUAAAAUAUCUUUGGCUGAUUUACAAUCAACCCUGAUUAAAAAUUUUUGGUUUAAUAAAUCCGAUUGAAAUUUGGAAAUGCACAAAACAAUUGCUAAAACCUCUUUUUUAACAGUUGAAUAUUUUAAUUGUGCAGGAUUCCAAUGUUUCGAUGUAUAUGCAAUGACAUGAUCUUGGCCAUGGACUCUUUGUUUGAGGAUGCCACCAUAACCUAUGUCAGAAGCAUCAGUUUCGACAAUUUUGAAUGCCUGUGGAAUAGGAAGAUACAGACAUUUAAUGGAUUGGACUUUGACUUUGAUUUCUUUAACCGUUUGUGUAUGGAGGUCAGACCAAGGAGGCGGAUUUUUCUUCAGCCUAUCAUGUAAUGGCUUGACAAUAUUAUUUAAAUAGGGGACAAAUUCUCCUACGUAAUUUAGACAACCUAGAAAUCUUUGUAACUGGGUUUUGUCUAAGAUUUGGUUGGGGAAUUUGCUAGCAAACUCUAUUGACCUUUCGAUUGGAAUGAUUGUACCUUGAUAUAUAUUGUGACCAAGGAAUCGAAUUCGAGUUUGGAAAAGAUUGAUUUUUGAUUUGGAGACUGCCAAACCAUUUUGUUUGAUGAUAUGUAUGAAGGUUUGGAGAUGUUUGAAAUGUUGGUCAAUGUUUUGGGAAAAGAUUAAAACAUCAUCUAUGUAGACAAUGACAAAUUUUGAAUAAGGAUUAAAAAUAUCAUUCAUAAUUUUUUGAAAUUCUGAAGGGGCAUUCUUCAGUCCGAAUGGCAUCACGUUCCAUUCAUAUUGCCCGAAAGGUACAGUAAACGCUGUUUUGUACCUAUCUGAUUCUUGGAUUUGGAUUUGCCAAAAUCCAGAUUUCAUAUCAAAUUUUGAAAAUAUCUUUGCAGAAUUUAAUCUGUUAAGCAAAUCUUUUUUGUUUGGAAUAGGAUAUCUAAUCCAUUGUAAUGCUUGAUUUAAUGGUUUGUAAUUUAUGACUAAGCGGGGUGUUCCACGCUCAAUCUCAGAUUGUUUGUUAACAUAAAAAGCCGCACAAGACCAUGGGCUUUUGCUUUUCUGGAUUAGGCCUUUAUCAAGCAAAUCCUUGAUUUCCUUUUGAUAGUAUUGAAGAAGUUCUUCAUUCAUUUGGAUUGGUCUGGCUUUUGUGGGAAUUUGUUUUUCCCUAAAGUCUUUCUCAUAAGGGAGAUCGACAAUAUGUUUCUUUCUGUCCCAAAAUGCAUGUGGCAAUUCAGAACAAACGGUCGAUUCAAUAUGAUUUAAUAAAGAUUGAAUUCUUUCUUUUACUUGGGGUUUUCCCAGUUGUAUCUGAAUAUUAUUAAAAGGUACUUCUUCUUUUAAGAAGUUAAUUUGAUUAAUCUUAUGUAUAUAUGUAUAUAUAUAUAUAUAUAUAUAUGUAUGUAUUGUGAUAAAUGAUAUUGUUUUGGUUGUUUGAAAUGUGUUGUUUGAAGACCAUGCGUGUGGAAAUGAUAUUGUUGUGGUUGUUUGAAUUGUUGUUGAUGUUGCUAUUGAGGAUUUUAAUUGAUAUGUGAUGAUAAUGAUAAUUAUGAUGAUGUUGAUUUGAGAUGACAUUGUUAAUAAAGACCAUGUCAACAUGAAUUGUUAUUAUUGAUGAAUAUGUGAAUAUGAAAUGAGGUUGUUGUUGUUGUUGAUAACGUCAUUGAGAUGAGAUGAUAUUUAUGUUGUGAAUGACAUGGAAAUAUGAUUUGUUGAUUGAUGUUGGGAAUGCAUUGGCAUGUGCAUGUUGUGUAUGUUCGUGGGGGGCACUGUGCACUGACCUUUCAGGGUCUUUGGCACUAGCUUUUGGCCACGUUCAUACAUUGGAUGUUGUGUAUGAUCGUGGGGUCGUGGGGGGCACUGUGCACUGACCUUGCAGGGUCUUUGGCACUAGCUUUUGGCCACGAUCAUAUGUCGUAUGAAGUGUAUGCCAUGGGGGGGUAGAGUGCACUGACCUUGUCGGAUGGCCCAAACGUGGGUAACUAGCGUGGUUAGAGAAUCUAAGCAUUUCUGAGGGGAUGCUUAGGCGCUUUAAUUGGUCCAUGGUCUUUGGCACUUACUUUUGGCCGUGAUCAUAGCUCAUACGACACAGGAAAUAGAGUAACUGUGGCCAAGUGUACUUUGUACUAGGGGGCUGUCACCUGGUAGGGAACACCUUUGGGCUCCCAGGCUGAUCACCUAUGGGAGGGGGGCUGUUAAGUGCACAACCGGGUGGUCUCGACAAACUCAGCACAGUUCCCUAAGUGAGAGUGUCGUGUGGACACGCUUAGGCUAUUUCCUAAGAUUUGGUUGUUGUUGGUACGUACCACAUUGCAUCUGAGUGUUGAGUCAGGUGCAUGCAUCAUUCUGUGCAGUCUUGAUUGGGUCCAUGGAUGGAUGAUGAGUAAUUGUUGGAUGUGAAUGAUGAAUAUUUGUUGGAUAUGAGUGUUGAAUAAUGAUUGUUGCGUAUGCUUAUCAUGUUUGCCUAUGUUCCUUGCUAAUUGUGGUUAUUUGGAAUUGGUAUUGGUUCUUUUAUAAUAAACUCAUCCUUGCAAUUUUGUAUCGUGUGGUUGAUACCUGUGAUGAUCUCGAACCUUGUUCAUGGGAGCAGAAUGACAGUGGUAGGGUGUAGGGAGUAAGAUUCUGGUGAGGAGCCGCCGAGCCGACGUGAUGACGUUGGCGUUAUUUUGGGAGAGAGUUGUGUUUUGUAAUCAACUCCUCCGUAGUUGGUUUUUAAGUUUUAUUUUGUUGAGUUAAAGAUGUAAAACUGGAAUUUUAAUUAUAUAUAUAUGAACAUAUUUAAUUUUCGUUAUGUGUAUGACAUGUACCGAAUUAUUGUUUCUAUGUAAUUAUGCAUAUUCACUUAAGUAAUGGCGUGUUGUUGGAUGAAUUUAUGUUGUGACAAAAUCACUUCUAUUUUCAUAAGCAAAAAUUAAGGGAGUUCUUUUUAUAAAAAUUGAAAUUAUCGAAUAUUAGAGUGUGGAUACCGUAGCGACGAGGCGGGUCGUUACAGCACAAGUAUUCAUUACUUUGUACUGAAUCCUAUAGAUCAAAGCUGCUGGGAUUGAUCCUUUUUCAUGUCAAGGUCAUGAAAGUGGAUAUUUAAAAACAGAGAGUCAAGAAUGUUUCUGUCCAUUAGACUCACCGUUUUGUUUGGAUAACAGUUGAAGUAUAUUGGACCUUAUCCUAAGCUUGUUUCUACUGUUCCAAUUAAGGAAUCUUCAAACUUGUUAUGCCUAAUAUCUCUAAGGCACAUUAAAAAUGCAGCAUCUAUGCCCAAAUCAAUUAAGGACUUGAUGGCUACUUAUACACAACCGAUAUGUAAAUACUUGUAUUUACGGCUAUGUUCAUAAAUAGAAUUUUUUGAAAGCAGAUGAAAUUCUUCCCCUAUAUCUUGUCCUAGAGGAAUAUUGUUUUCUACUAUUUUUAUUAUAUAGUCAAAAUUAUGUUUGUCUUUAAUUGUUUCAGGAAUGUACACCUUAUCCUGAGGUAUUUCUGGAAUGUUCCAGUUAUCCAUAUUUUGAUUUAUGUCUUCGAAUCGGACUUCCUCAUCGAAGAGAUUGUGUUUUGGGACGACCUCGUGGGUCUGGUUAUCUUGUUCAUUGAGUAAAUUAUUGGUUGAAUUCAUUGAAGAAGAGGAUGAAGAUGAGUUUGAUCUAAAAAAAUGCGAGAGAAAGAACGUAAAAGGCGAGACAUUGGAUUCAUCCUCUAGUAUCUUUGCCGUCAUAUGGUUCCAUAGAAAUGUUUCCAAAAGGUUAUAUGUUACUAAACUUCUUGGAUCUGAAAAAUAAAGAAGAUUUUUAUUUUAUUUUAUUUUAUUUUUUACGGACAAUAUAGUUUGAACACUACUCCUAUAGCCACCAGUAUAUUAUGUUUUAAUAUUUUAUUUGAACAAUACACCUUAGCCUUACUGCCCUUUCUCAUCCACGGGACUUACUGUUACCGUAUCAUUCAACUAAAAUAUCAGACUGUUGUGCUUCCAGAAAAUAUUGUUCAAACAUAUACUGUUUAAAUUAAAAUUACUAUACACAGUUCAGAUCCAUGAAUUCAGUUAACAUAUGCCCUUACGGACACUAUUCCUACUUCCCCAUCAGGCUCUAAUACCAAAGAUCAGAGGAGAAGGACCUAACGGACAAAUAGGAAGUAGGAAUGCAGUAUGAUAAAUGGAGAUCGAAAUGUAAACUUUUCAAAACAGGUAUCAAGGGCACACCGGAGACCGGCUUACAAUUCCCAGGUUUUCAUAAACAAAGAAACCGAAGCGGCGACAGAGCUGCAUAGGAUCGGUACAAGAGGAGGAGGGGAGACGUAUGAGAAAUAGAAAUUUAUUAAAACUUGAAAGAAACGCUUACAAAAGUUUUUCUUUCAGAGCACCUCCUCUCGAAAACCUGAAAAAUGGCCAAAUGAAAGGGUGCCUCACAAUAUGGUUGAGGACUCCUUAUAUAGCCAAAAUUCUUUGACCGGUAGUUUUGAUCAGAACUAUUUGACUGGUUGUUACAAAACAAUUAGUUUUGACCGGGACUUAUUUGCUACAGGACAGGUAGUAUUGUCCGAAAUUACAAAUUAAUUAACAACAAUCGGAACUAAUUAAUCAUCUUCUAAUGAGAUGCCAAAACAAUCAUCCUCAUUUUGGUAGACAGGAUCAUCAUCUAGGUCAUCAAUGUCUUCUGAAGAUCCGGCAUCCUUCUUUGAAGAUUCCUCCUCUUCUUCUUGUUGAAGUAGCUGGAGAACUUCCUUAAGGUUCUGGGCAAGGCUUUCUUUGGAUUUUGAACUGGCCAAGAACGCCGCAAGCUGAGAUUUCUGAUUCAGAAAUAAUGAUGUUUCUGGAUUAGCAGGUUUGCUCUUUGGUAAUCAAUUACUAGAGACUGUAAUCGAUUACUAGAAGCAAGAAUAGUUUUUAACAGUUUUCAUUUUACAAAAGCAUGUCUCUGCAAAGGUGGAUAUUGCUUGUUGUUUUCAGUUUUCCCAUACCUGUAUUGCCAUGAAAAGAUCCAUGACAAAGCAAAGCUAGAAAAAUACAUUAGAUCGGCUGGAAUUCUUGAUUCCUGGUUGUUGAACAAUCUAUUGAACUGUUGAAAUCCUUGUUGGACUUCUUCUGGAAAG
RNAcentral lists this long non-coding RNA (38947 nucleotides) under Glycine max (soybean). RNAcentral describes it as "long non-coding RNA (GMAX_LNC002024)". Lineage: Eukaryota; Viridiplantae; Streptophyta; Magnoliopsida; Fabales; Fabaceae. The record is from RNAcentral.